Molecule: long non-coding RNA, 1956 nt
Organism: Hippocampus zosterae (dwarf seahorse)
Lineage: Eukaryota; Metazoa; Chordata; Actinopteri; Syngnathiformes; Syngnathidae
Exons: 2
Source: RefSeq, a predicted model, not a curated record
CAAGACACUUACUUCACAUCUUUUGUGCGCGUUUGCUGUCCUAACUUUUGGGAACUUGUAAAACUCAAGACUACAUUUGAAAGUCUUAUCUUGGCCUUGAUUCCCAUAAAUCUUUGUCUAGUCUUGGUCUGGGACUGGCUGGACUCUGGAUUUUCCAUUUAGACUCUUUGAAACCAUCAUUCAUCUCCUAUUUCUUCAACUUUAUUAAUUUGGUAAUUGGAGAAGCACUUGCUAAAACAACACAUGCCUUCAAUUCGGAUGUUAUGAGGCCCCCACCAACAACGUCAUGACUGCAACCAACAAGGAGGUUUUUUUUCAUAGACAGGGCAUUAUUAUAAUACCACACAUGCAUGUUGAAGACAAAAUUGUUCAAUCUUCAUCUUUCUAAAAUGCUACCAGAUGAAUGAAUGAAUGUUAAAUACAUACGAGCUCUGAUUUUUUGUGGGUUUUGGAUGCAAAAAAAAGAAUUCUGAUUUACCGUAUUUUCCGCACUAAAAGGUGCACCUAAAAGUCUUCCAUUUUCUUAAAAGCUCACAGCGCGCCUUAAAAUCCGGUACUCCUUAUGUAUGGUCAUUACAGUAAUAUGUCAAGCCCAAAAUGGCUCUUUGCUGGAGAUAUGCAAUAGAACACGGAAAUAGAACAGCGGAAAAGAGUUCAAUGUUAACAAGUCAAUGUAAUAACUUGCUGUUGGUUCAGUGAACUGUGUCGCUGCUUUAUUAAACAAGUUUUGUUGCAGCUCCGAAAAAAAGGAGAUCCGUGGUGUUGUUUUUUUUAAACACACACUUUAUUAAUGGUUUUCACAGUCUCAACAAAUACAGGUACGUCUUUGUCCGUCCGUUUCUGUGCCUUCUCUUCUUCCAUUCGACUCGAGAGGCGUUCAUGACCGCCUCCGAAAAACAUAAAUUAACGAUUACUUCAAUGAAACUACGAAAAUUGAAAAUAAUCCAUCAAAACAGAAAAUCAAGCGAGGAAAUCACAAAAUUCUAUAUCCCGCCCUACAGAAUUUUUGUGAUUUUCUCGUUUGUGAAUACAUAAAGGAAUACAGUGAAACUCCUCUACAACGAAAUCAUGUUUGCAGCAAGAAAUUUUUCAUAACAGGGUUUUUCACUGUAGCAAAUUUGAUCUCGGAUGUAAGCACACACACAAACGUAAGUUUACAUGCGCACACAAAUGUAUGUGUAAUCUAUUUUUAUUCCAAUAGUGCAUAAGUAUGAGCACACACUUAUUUGACACUUCAUAUUGUCAGUGUAGAAAGGGGAAAGAAAUUGUGAAAUGUACGAUCAGCAUUCACUUUCACUUACAUCAAUUUCUUGGAUAAUGUAUUUUAUUUUGUUUGCUUCGUCUUUCAUGUUGAUCACUUUUACCCUCUCUUCCAGCAUCAGAGCUCUGUCUUAACUGCUUGACAUCAAAAGGUCCGUUUUGUAGCCAUUUUAGCAAUGCAACGUCCAUCCUCGUCUGAACAUCGUUCACUCCGUAAACCAGUGUGGUGAUUGCUGUUGCCGUUUCCGAACGAACCAAUAGAGGUCGCUGUUGGAUAAGACUUCGUUGUAGUGAAUGUCAUCGCGAGGCUGGAGCAGAGAAAAUGAUAUCGUAUAACGCAACAGGGGAGUUUUCGUCGUAUGGGGGCAGGAGAAUGGGAAUUGUGUUAAUGAUUUUUUUCACAUAUGGGAGUAUUUUCGCACAUGUAGGUUUCGUUCUAGAAGAGUUUCACUGUAAAUAAACACUUCUGAGGCAGUCCAGUCUCCUACAUUUUACUGACGUAUGAUCCUUCUGUUGCAUUUCCUUGAUCGUAGCUCCAUCUAGUGGAUGCUUUGUAGAUUGCGUUUUACAACCGCUGCGUCCAAUAUAUGAAGAAAAAAAAGACAAAAUAGGCCAUUCAUUGAAUAUGCGCCUAAUAAUCCAGUGCCGCUUUUAGUGUGGAAAAUACGGUAAAAUUUUUGCAAGUAGAUUUGCAGA